CAAACUGGAGAUGGCGACCGGCGCACGGGUGAGUAACACGUAUCCAACCUGCCGAUAACUCGGGGAUAGCCUUUCGAAAGAAAGAUUAAUACCCGAUGGCAUAAUAGAACCGCAUGGUUUGAUUAUUAAAGAAUUUCGGUCAUCGAUGGGGAUGCGUUCCAUUAGGUUGUUGGCGGGGUAACGGCCCACCAAGCCUUCGAUGGAUAGGGGUUCUGAGAGGAAGGUCCCCCACAUUGGAACUGAGACACGGUCCAAACUCCUACGGGAGGCAGCAUG
RNAcentral lists this ribosomal RNA (276 nucleotides) under uncultured bacterium. Its description in RNAcentral is "partial 16S ribosomal RNA". It matches the Rfam family "Bacterial small subunit ribosomal RNA", at positions 77 to 353 of the family's 1533-position model. The record is from RNAcentral.